GACGAACGCUGGCGGCGUGCUUAACACAUGCAAGUCGAACGGAAAGGCCCUGCUUUUGUGGGGUGCUCGAGUGGCGAACGGGUGAGUAACACGUGAGUAACCUGCCCUUGACUUUGGGAUAACUUCAGGAAACUGGGGCUAAUACCGGAUAGGAGCUCCUGCUGCAUGGUGGGGGUUGGAAAGUUUCGGCGGUUGGGGAUGGACUCGCGGCUUAUCAGCUUGUUGGGGGGGUAGUGGCUUACCAAGGCUGUGACGGGUAGCCGGCCUGAGAGGGUGAACGGCCACAUUGGGACUGAGAGACGGCCCAGACGCCUACGGGAGGCAGCAGGGGGGAAUAUUGCACAAUAGGCGGAAGCCUGAUGCAGCAACCCCGCGUGCGUGAUGACGGCCUUCGGGUUGUAAACCGCUUUCGCCUGUGACGAAGCGUGAGUGACGGUAAUGGGUAAAGAAGCACCGGCUAACUACGUG
RNAcentral lists this ribosomal RNA (468 nucleotides) under uncultured bacterium. RNAcentral's name for it is "partial 16S ribosomal RNA". It matches the Rfam family "Bacterial small subunit ribosomal RNA", at positions 28 to 507 of the family's 1533-position model. The record is from RNAcentral.